This 314-nucleotide small RNA is filed under the name Histoplasma ohiense. RNAcentral's name for it is "hypothetical lncRNA". The record is from RNAcentral. Lineage: Eukaryota; Fungi; Ascomycota; Eurotiomycetes; Onygenales; Ajellomycetaceae.
GCAUCUGCUUGUUUCUGACUGUUGUGACCUCAUGUAACCCUCGAUGUUCUUCCACUCUGUGCUCUGCACUUGUGUAAUUUCUAAUGAUUCUUUCAUAUAGCUUUUAAUGUUCUUCUGCUCUGUGCUUCAUACUUGUGUAGUCUCUAAUGAUUCUUCUGUGUAGCUUCUUACAUUCCCUCACUCUGUGUUCUGUGCUUGUGUAGUCUCUAAUGAUUCUUUCACAUAGCUUCUUAUGUUCUUCUGCUCUGUGUUCCACACUUGUAUAGUCUCUAACAAUUCUUCUGCAUAGCUCUCAAUGAUUCCCUCAUCCCACA